AUGGAAUUUAUGCAGUUCGUCUGGGACGCAUUGUCGGCAAUAGGAUUAUGGGUUCUGGCAGCAGCAUUCCAAAUGGCCAUCAAUUUCUGUGCUCAAAUAGUUUUUAUGUCCCGAAGUUCGAGAUGAAACGAAACCAAAACAAAGCCAAACCAAACAAAACAUAACAGAACAGAUUAGUGCCUGUUGCUUGACUCUCCGAAACUUUUCCGCAGCCAGUGCCAAUGAAUUAUAAAAACUUGACGUCAGUGUCUCGGUUUGUGUUAAAAGCCGCUAGAAAAACUAAUUGAAAUAGCUGGAAGAACGUUUGUUAUAGACGACAGCAAACCGGUUUUCAGCAGCUGCGUAUAAUUUAUAUGAGCAGGGAAAGAGAUGGCGGAGGGAGACAAAUUGCACCAAGUAGAAUACAUUUGAACGUAUACAAGUAUUUAGUAAGUGUAGCAGCGUGUUCCAAUUGCGAAAGCCAAGCAGCCAAAGUGGCAGGCAGGCCGGUCGAGCCCAGAAGGCAGCAACGACGUUAACUUUGGCGAUAAGGUGAUUACGACAAGUUAUCUUAUCUGCGGGCGUGACUAAUUGCCGCAAAUGAAAGGCAUGGAUGCCUGACUGGUCGAAGCAACAAAUUUCUAGCCUGCUGCUACUUUAAGUACCACAGGCAUGGCAGGGAAAUAUUUAAAGAAAAAAACCAAAAACAAUGAAAAAAAAACAAGAAAUAAAAAUGUGCAGACAUUCGCUUGAGGUA
Molecule: long non-coding RNA, 736 nt
Organism: Scaptodrosophila lebanonensis
Lineage: Eukaryota; Metazoa; Arthropoda; Insecta; Diptera; Drosophilidae
Exons: 2
Source: RefSeq, a predicted model, not a curated record